Long non-coding RNA from Pseudopipra pipra, 1643 nucleotides. RefSeq lists it as uncharacterized. The transcript is spliced from 5 exons. The record is from RefSeq and is a predicted model, not a curated record. Lineage: Eukaryota; Metazoa; Chordata; Aves; Passeriformes; Pipridae.
UCCAUCGUAACGGGAAGGGUGGUGCGCCGUGGCGGUGCUUGUUUGUUCCGUUGCGUCUCGGCGGCCGAGGCUAGGCUCGCUCAGGGCCGUGGAGGCGGCGUGACGAUGGCAUACUUCGCGGAGAGCUUCUGGGGGGAAAGGAACAAUGGCUUUGAUGUCCUCUAUCACAACAUGAAACAUGGACAUUUGUCAACAAAAGAUUUGGCAGACUUUAUAAGAGAAAGGGCUGCGAUAGAGGAGGCAUAUUCAAGGUCAAUGACAAAACUAGCCAAAUCAGCAAGAAAUUACACACAACUUGGGACAUUUGCACCAGUUUGGGAUGUUUUCAAAACUUCAGCAGAAAAACUGGCAAGCUGUCACUUGGACCUCAUGCGGAGAUUACAAGAGCUAAUAAAAGAAGUUCAUAAGUAUGGAGAUGAACAAAUCAAAACUUAUAAAAAGACUAAAGAAGAUGUUUCAGGAACAUUAGAAGCAGUGCAAAAUAUUCAAAGUAUCACUCAGGCCUUACAAAAAUCAAAGGAAAACUACAAUGCAAAGUGUGUUGAACAAGAACGUUUGAAAAAGGAAGGAGCAACACAGAGAGAAGUUGAUAAGGUAGUUCUGUGGCAUCUUAAAUUCAUUGUGUUGUCAAUCUGUAACAUUCACCUUGUACUAGUGAAAUACUCAAAAAGGGCUAAAAGUAGUUGUGGCUAUUUCAUAAUGUGCAUGAUGCUUUGAAUGCCUUGUUAUGUUUUGUUUACUCUUCCUUAAUGGUUCUAACUGCACUGCAGUUCUAAUUCUUUAUUUUGUAAUUACCUACAUCAGCUUCUAUUAUGUUCUCAGAUGCAUUUUGUUAAGUAAAUAUGCAAACAUUCAAUGCCUUUAUUAAUGAAUUAAGGAGUAGGAAGUUUUGUGUUGUCCCCUCAAGUGAGACAAAGCAGCUAAUUAUAGGAGUAUUUGAAGUCUGUUUCAUUGAGAAGAAAAGCAAGUUAACAUUACUUUCAACAAUAAUUUAAGAGGUUCCAACAACAUGGACCAAAACUCCAAGGGACUGCAUUUAGUACUCUCCUUGGGUCAUGGAGGAGCUUGAUCCAUUUAUAGAAUCACAGCAUGAUUAAGGUUGGAAGGGACCUUAGAGAAGUUGUGGAUUCCCCACCCCUAGAAGUGUUUGAGGCCAAGUUGGAUGGGGCUCUGAACAACCUGGUCUAGUGGAAUGUGUCCUUGACCAUGGCAGGAGGGUUAAAACUGGAUCAUCUUUAAGGUCCCUUCCAACCCAAACUGUUCUAUGACUAUGACCUCUGGAGGUCAUCUUGUCCAAUCCCCCUGCUCAGGCAGGAUCACCUAGAGCCAGCUGCCCUGUACUGUGACCAGAUGGCUUUUGAAGAUCUCCAAGGAUGGAGGUUCCAUAAUCUCCCUGGACAAACUGAUCCAGUGCUCAGUCACCCUUACAGUAAAAAAAGUGUUUCCUGAUGUUCAGGUGGAACCUCCUGUGUCUCAGUCUGUGCCCAUUGCCUCUGGUUCUGUCACUGAGCACCACUGAAAAGAGCCUGGGUCUCUUCUUUGCACCCUCCCUUCAGGUAUGACAUGCAUUGACAAUAUGUCUUCAGAGGCCCAGGCUGAACAGUCCCAGCUCUCUCAGAUUUUUCUCAUAGGAGAGAUGCUGC